RNAcentral lists this ribosomal RNA (326 nucleotides) under uncultured eukaryote. RNAcentral's name for it is "partial 18S ribosomal RNA". It matches the Rfam family "Eukaryotic small subunit ribosomal RNA", at positions 1470 to 1796 of the family's 1831-position model. The record is from RNAcentral.
CCCUUAGAUGUUCUGGGCCGCACGCGCGCUACACUGAUGCAUUCAACGAGUCCAACCUUGACCGAGAGGUCCGGGUAAUCUUUGAAACUGCAUCGUGAUGGGGCUAGAUUAUUGCAAUUAUUAAUCUUCAACGAGGAAUGCCUAGUAAGCGUGAUUCAUCAAAUCGCGUUGAUUGCGUCCCUGCCCUUUGUACACACCGCCCGUCGCUCCUACCGAUUGAGUGUGUUGGUGAGGAGUUUGGAUUGGCCUCGGAAGGUGGUUCGCCACCGUCCGUAGCUGAGAAGUUCUCCAAACCGCCCCACUUAGAGGAAGGAGAAGUCGUAACA